UAAGUUAAUCAGACAAUCGCUGCUAAUUAUAAAAACAUCAAUAAUUAGGAGAGGAAAGUCCGGGCUCCUUUGGAUCAAAGUACCAGAUAACGCCUGGGAAGUGUAAACUUACGACUAGUGCAACAGAAAAAAAACCGCUUAAUUUUUAAAACUUAUAUUUUAUAUAUAAAAAUAUUAAGUAAGGGUGAAAAGGUGUGGUAAGAGCAUACCGUAUUAUUGGUAACAAUAAUAGACAAUGUAAACUCUACUUGGAGCAAAGUUAAAUAAUAGUUUUUUUAAUGCAUGGAUCCGUGCUAAACUUGGGUAAACUGCUUGAACUAAUAAGUGAUUAUUAGUCUAGAUAAAUGAUUGUCUAAUACAGAACCCGGCUUAUAGAUUAACUUAUGAC
RNAcentral lists this RNase P RNA (388 nucleotides) under Buchnera aphidicola (Anoecia oenotherae). Its description in RNAcentral is "Bacterial RNase P class A". It matches the Rfam family "Bacterial RNase P class A". Rfam says of the family: Ribonuclease P (RNase P) is a ubiquitous endoribonuclease, found in archaea, bacteria and eukarya as well as chloroplasts and mitochondria. Its best characterised activity is the generation of mature 5'-ends of tRNAs by cleaving the 5'-leader elements of precursor-tRNAs. The record is from Rfam by way of RNAcentral. Lineage: Bacteria; Pseudomonadati; Pseudomonadota; Gammaproteobacteria; Enterobacterales; Erwiniaceae.